AAAGGAAUAGACGGGGGCCCGCACAAGCAGCGGAGCAUGUGGUUUAAUUCGAAGCAACGCGAAGAACCUUACCAGGGCUUGACAUCGCCUGAGGUUGGUAGAAAUACCGAUGUUCCUACGGGACAGGCAGACAGGUGGUGCAUGGUUGUCGUCAGCUCGUGUCGUGAGAUGUUGGGUUAAGUCCCGCAACGAGCGCAACCCCUAUCUCUAGUUGCCAUCAUUGAGUUGGGGACUCUAGAGAGACUGCCGGGGACAACUCGGAGGAAGGUGGGGACGACGUCAAAUCAUCAUGCCCCUUAUGUCCUGGGCUACACACGUGCUACAAUGGCCAUCACAAAGAGCCGCGAAGUCGUAAGGCGGAGCGAAUCUCAAAAAGGUGGUCUCAGUUCGGAUUGUGGGCUGCAACUCGCCCACAUGAAGUCGGAGUUGCUAGUAAUCGCGAAUCAGCAUGUCGCGGUGAAUACGUUCCCGGGCCUUGUACACACCGCCCGU
This 492-nucleotide ribosomal RNA is filed under the name uncultured bacterium. RNAcentral describes it as "bacterial SSU rRNA". It matches the Rfam family "Bacterial small subunit ribosomal RNA", at positions 903 to 1397 of the family's 1533-position model. The record is from RNAcentral.